AAAUGAAUAGACGGGGGCCCGCACAAGCAGUGGAGUAUGUGGUUUAAUUCGAAGCAACGCGAAGAACCUUACCAGGGCUUGACAUCCCACGGACACAGGCGAAAGUCUGUAGGCUCGCAAGAGACGUGGAGACAGGUGGUGCAUGGUUGUCGUCAGCUCGUGUCGUGAGAUGUUGGGUUAAGUCCCGCAACGAGCGCAACCCUUGUGGUUAGUUGCCAGCGGGUGAAGCCGGGCACUCUAACCAGACUGCCGGCGACAAGUCGGAGGAAGGUGGGGAUGACGUCAAAUCAUCAUGCCCUUUAUGUUCUGGGCUACACACGUACUACAAUGGCCGUAACAGAGGGGAGCGAAGUGGCGACACGGAGCGAAUCCCAAAAAAGCGGUCCCAGUUCAGAUUGCGGGCUGAAACCCGCCCGCAUGAAGGAGGAAUUGCUAGUAAUCGCAGAUCAGCAUGCUGCGGUGAAUACGUUCCCGGGCCUUGUACACACCGCCCGU
This 495-nucleotide ribosomal RNA is filed under the name uncultured bacterium. RNAcentral describes it as "bacterial SSU rRNA". It matches the Rfam family "Bacterial small subunit ribosomal RNA", at positions 903 to 1397 of the family's 1533-position model. The record is from RNAcentral.